GUUCCGGUUGUCACGCCAGUGGCAUUGCCGGGUAGCUAUGUUCGGAAAAGAUAACCGCUGAAAGCAUCUAAGCGGGAAACUUGCCUCAAGAUGAGAUCUCACUGGAACCUUGAGUUCCCUAAAGGGCCGUCGAAGACUACGACGUUGAUAGGUUGGGUGUGUAAGCGCUGUGAGGCGUUGAGCUAACCAAUACUAAUUGCCCGUGAGGCUUGACCAUAUAAAAAGGGCCGUCGAAGACUACGACGUUGAUAGGUUGGGUGUGUAAGCGCUGUGAGGCGUUGAGCUAACCAAUACUAAUUGCCCGUGAGGCUUGACCAUAUAACACCCAAGCAAUU
RNAcentral lists this ribosomal RNA (335 nucleotides) under Pseudomonas syringae pv. syringae. RNAcentral describes it as "partial 23S ribosomal RNA". The stretch from base 1 to 217 matches the Rfam family "Bacterial large subunit ribosomal RNA", at positions 2714 to 2925 of the family's 2925-position model. Lineage: Bacteria; Pseudomonadati; Pseudomonadota; Gammaproteobacteria; Pseudomonadales; Pseudomonadaceae. The record is from RNAcentral.